Long non-coding RNA from Girardinichthys multiradiatus, 432 nucleotides. RefSeq lists it as uncharacterized. The record is from RefSeq and is a predicted model, not a curated record. The transcript has 2 exons. NCBI's taxonomy places the organism in Eukaryota, Metazoa, Chordata, Actinopteri, Cyprinodontiformes, Goodeidae.
GUUUGAGCCACACACUAAGGUUAUGCUUCGUUCUUUGACCUCGUUUAACUUUGUCUUUGUGCCUUUGUAGAUUAAGAAGAUCUAAGUUUUGGAUUUUUGUCACUCUGGAUGAUCAAGCCAUGGAUUAGAAAAAUCCUGCCUCAUGUCUUCGUUUGGACUCGCAUCAAGCUGGCAGCUUCCUGCUCUCUCCGUCUCCUGAACCAAGCCAUAAGCGUACCCUGUCCACCCUCCAACGUAAACCACCGCACAUCGAACUCAUUCUUUUUGUUCCGAGCUCACACAGAACAGCACCAAGAGAACUCUCUACGGAUAUCCCUGCAAAAGACCUGGAUCCUGAAUCUCAUUCCCUCUGGCGACCUGACCACCAUUACCCAUGAGAUUUUCAUCCUUUUUGUUCCUGAUUCCAUCAUCAAUAAAACAGUCUUUAUUUUA